GUACAUAUAUGUAUUAUCCCCAUAUAUAUAUAUACAACAUAUAUUUAAUUAUCUAGGACAUUAUAUGUAUA
Molecule: transfer RNA, 71 nt
Filed under: Acentrogobius caninus (tropical sand goby)
Lineage: Eukaryota; Metazoa; Chordata; Actinopteri; Gobiiformes; Gobiidae
Description: tRNA-Leu
Source: RNAcentral